AGCAGCCAAGUCGGCCGGGCAGUCCAGUCCAUUUGGACCAAGGCUGGACUGGCCAGCUAUAUAACCUGCACAUUAAUGAGGAAGACUGCAGUGACGCAGUUUCUUUAGAACUGCCCGGAACAGUCAGCGAACCUGUCCGACCUAAUGUGCCAUAGGCAACAAACGGCGGCCAAAUGUUACAGACUCGUAGAAAGGGAGAGGACAGCAGUAGAGGCAUCAAAGGCUCUGUCUGGCUUGAUGUCUCUACCAGCUGAUGUAGAGCAACCAGGUUUCAGCAGUAGCAGCAUGCCAGCUUCGUCGAAGAGGGGCAAAAAGGUUUUCAGUGCUAGUGACAAAGAGAAUCUAAGAUCCACCUGUGGAGACGUGAAUAAGAGCUGGACCGAUUGGGGCACAACGACUAAUGGCCGUUUUGGAACAGACAGACGGAGGAAGACGACUGCUGGCUAAUUUUAAAAUGGACCAGAUCAUUAACAGGAUUAAAUGUGAAAGGAGGAAAGAUCAAUCACAAUUGUAGCCAACAAGCUGUUUGUACUUGUUUUAUGUUCUGUUUCUGUGUUUGUUUAGAUUGAUUUCUAGUUUAAUGGACCAGUUUAAUAAUAAUUAAUAGACUAUGCAUACACAUCAGAUACAAGGCAAAAAGCACCAGUU
Molecule: long non-coding RNA, 648 nt
Organism: Alosa alosa (allis shad)
Lineage: Eukaryota; Metazoa; Chordata; Actinopteri; Clupeiformes; Clupeidae
Exons: 3
Source: RefSeq, a predicted model, not a curated record